GACGAACGCUGGCGGCGUGCUUAACACAUGCAAGUCGAACGGAGUGGCGAACGGGUGAGGAACACGUGGGUGAUCUGCCCUGCACUUCGGGAUAAGCUUGGGAAACUGGGUAUAAUUCCGGAUUGUGCAAGAUGAGCUCGCGGCCUAUCAGCUUGUUGGUGGGGUAAUGGACUACCAAGGCGUCGGCGGGUAGCCGGCCUGAGAGGGUGUACGGCCACAUUGCGACUGAGGUACGGCCCAGACUCCUACGGGAGGCAGCAGUGGGGAGUAUUACACAAUGGGCUGAAGCCUGAUGCAGCGACGCCGCGUGGGGGAUGAAGGCUUUCGGGUUGUAAACUCCUUUCGACAGGGACGCGGUACCUGUAUAAGAAGCACCGGCUAACUACGUGCCAGCAGCCGCGGUAAUAC
Molecule: ribosomal RNA, 408 nt
Filed under: uncultured bacterium
Lineage: Bacteria
Description: partial 16S ribosomal RNA
Rfam family: Bacterial small subunit ribosomal RNA
Source: RNAcentral